RNAcentral lists this ribosomal RNA (529 nucleotides) under Tetracampos ciliotheca. Its description in RNAcentral is "partial 18S ribosomal RNA". It matches the Rfam family "Eukaryotic small subunit ribosomal RNA", at positions 930 to 1392 of the family's 1831-position model. Lineage: Eukaryota; Metazoa; Platyhelminthes; Cestoda; Bothriocephalidea; Bothriocephalidae. The record is from RNAcentral.
AGNNGACAAACUAAAGCGAAAGCAUUCGUCAAGCAUGUUUUCAUUGGCCAUGAGCGAAAGUCAGAGGCUCCAAAACCAACAAAUACCGUCCUAAUUGUGACCAUAAACGAUGCCAACUGACGAUCCGUGGUGGUAAUUAAACCCUCACGGGCAGUCCCCGGGAAACUUAAAUCUAUGGGUUCCGGGGGAAAGAUGGUUGCAAAACUGAAACUUAAAGGAAUUGACGGAAGGGCACCACCAGGAGUGGAGCCUGCGGCUUAAAUUGACUCAACACGGGAAAACUCACCCGGGCCGGACACUAUGACGAUUGACAUAUUGAAAGCUCUUUCUUGAUUUGGUGGGUGGUGGUGCAUGGCCGUUCUUAUUGGGGGGAGCGAAUUGUCUGGUUAAUUCCGAUAACGAACAAGACUCCCGCCUGGUAAAAAAUCUCCUGGCCCACUUGGAAGCGGGGAAUGCGCAAAUGGCCAAGGGGUGGGCUCCCGGGGGGCCUUUUAUUAUAACCCCCCCCAGACCCCCUUAAAGGUUUCGG